CCCUUAGAUGUUCUGGGCCGCACGCGCGCUACACUGACGAAGACAGCGAGCAUGUCCUACGCCGACAGGUGCGGGGAAUCUUGUCAAACUUCGUCGUGAUGGGGAUUGAUUAUUGAAAUUCUUGAUCAUCAACGAGGAAUUCCUAGUAAGCGCAAGUCAGCAGCUUGCGUUGAUUACGUCCCUGCCCUUUGUACACACCGCCCGUCGCUACUACCGAUUGAAUGGUUUAGUGAGAUCUUCGGAUUGGCGCCACUGCGGCUCAGCAAUGGGCUCGGUGGAUGCCGAAAAGUUGAUCAAACUUGAUCAUUUAGAGGAAGUAAAAGUCGUAACA
RNAcentral lists this ribosomal RNA (331 nucleotides) under uncultured eukaryote. RNAcentral describes it as "partial 18S ribosomal RNA". It matches the Rfam family "Eukaryotic small subunit ribosomal RNA", at positions 1470 to 1796 of the family's 1831-position model. The record is from RNAcentral.